This 700-nucleotide ribosomal RNA is filed under the name Vibrio campbellii. Its description in RNAcentral is "bacterial SSU rRNA". It matches the Rfam family "Bacterial small subunit ribosomal RNA", at positions 66 to 755 of the family's 1533-position model. The record is from RNAcentral. Lineage: Bacteria; Pseudomonadati; Pseudomonadota; Gammaproteobacteria; Vibrionales; Vibrionaceae.
GUUAUCUGAACCUUCGGGGAACGAUAACGGCGUCGAGCGGCGGACGGGUGAGUAAUGCCUAGGAAAUUGCCCUGAUGUGGGGGAUAACCAUUGGAAACGAUGGCUAAUACCGCAUAAUGCCUACGGGCCAAAGAGGGGGACCUUCGGGCCUCUCGCGUCAGGAUAUGCCUAGGUGGGAUUAGCUAGUUGGUGAGGUAAGGGCUCACCAAGGCGACGAUCCCUAGCUGGUCUGAGAGGAUGAUCAGCCACACUGGAACUGAGACACGGUCCAGACUCCUACGGGAGGCAGCAGUGGGGAAUAUUGCACAAUGGGCGCAAGCCUGAUGCAGCCAUGCCGCGUGUGUGAAGAAGGCCUUCGGGUUGUAAAGCACUUUCAGUCGUGAGGAAGGUAGUGUAGUUAAUAGCUGCAUUAUUUGACGUUAGCGACAGAAGAAGCACCGGCUAACUCCGUGCCAGCAGCCGCGGUAAUACGGAGGGUGCGAGCGUUAAUCGGAAUUACUGGGCGUAAAGCGCAUGCAGGUGGUUUGUUAAGUCAGAUGUGAAAGCCCGGGGCUCAACCUCGGAAUUGCAUUUGAAACUGGCAGACUAGAGUACUGUAGAGGGGGGUAGAAUUUCAGGUGUAGCGGUGAAAUGCGUAGAGAUCUGAAGGAAUACCGGUGGCGAAGGCGGCCCCCUGGACAGAUACUGACACUCAGAUGCG